Molecule: ribosomal RNA, 253 nt
Filed under: uncultured bacterium
Lineage: Bacteria
Description: partial 16S ribosomal RNA
Rfam family: Bacterial small subunit ribosomal RNA
Source: RNAcentral
UACGUAGGGACCGAGCGUUGUCCGGAAUCAUUGGGCGUAAAGCGCGCGUAGGCGGCCAGAUAAGUCCGGUGUGAAAGUCACAGGCUCAACCUGUGAAUGCCGCUGGAAACUGUCUGGCUUGAGUCCGGAAGGGGCGAGUGGAAUUCCUGGUGUAGCGGUGAAAUGCGCAGAUAUCAGGAGGAACACCAAUGGCGAAGGCAGCUCGCUGGAACGGUACUGACGCUGAGGCGCGAAAGCGUGGGGAGCGAACAGG